CCUACGGGAGGCUGCAGUGGGGAAUUUUGCGCAAUGGGGGCAACCCUGACGCAGCAAAGCCGCGUGAUCGAUGAAGCCCUUCUGGGUGUAAAGAUCUGUCAGUGGGGACGAAACCUGACGGUCCCCACAGAGGAAGCACCGGCUAACUCCGUGCCAGCAGCCGAGGUAAUACGGAGGGGGCAAGCGUUGUCCGGAAUCAUUGGGCGUAAAGAGUUCGUAGGUGGUACGUUAAGUCAGAUGUUAAAGGCGGAAGCUCAACUUCCGUAGGGCACUGGAUACUGGUGAGCUUGAAUGCGGUAGAGGUAGAGGGAAUUCCUGGUGUAGCGGUGAAAUGCGUAGAUAUCAGGAGGAACAUAGGUGGCGUAAGCGCUUUACUGGGCCGUAACUGACACUGAGGAACGAAAGCCGGGGGAGCAAAUGGGAUUAGAUACCCUUGUAGUC
RNAcentral lists this ribosomal RNA (441 nucleotides) under uncultured bacterium. Its description in RNAcentral is "partial 16S ribosomal RNA". It matches the Rfam family "Bacterial small subunit ribosomal RNA", at positions 338 to 795 of the family's 1533-position model. The record is from RNAcentral.